UACGUAGGGGGCAAGCGUUAUCCGGAUUUACUGGGUGUAAAGGGUGCGUAGACGGUAUGGCAAGUCUGAAGUGAAAGGCGUGGGCUCAACCCAUGGACUGCUUUGGAAACUGUCAGACUAGAGUACAGGAGGGGUAAGCGGAAUUCCCAGUGUAGCGGUGAAAUGCUUAGAUAUUGGGAGGAACACCGGCGGCGAAGGCGGCUUACUGGACUGUAACUGACGUUGAGGCACGAAAGCGUGGGGAGCAAAC
RNAcentral lists this ribosomal RNA (250 nucleotides) under uncultured prokaryote. RNAcentral describes it as "partial 16S ribosomal RNA". It matches the Rfam family "Bacterial small subunit ribosomal RNA", at positions 524 to 773 of the family's 1533-position model. The record is from RNAcentral.